This 253-nucleotide ribosomal RNA is filed under the name uncultured bacterium. Its description in RNAcentral is "partial 16S ribosomal RNA". It matches the Rfam family "Bacterial small subunit ribosomal RNA", at positions 524 to 776 of the family's 1533-position model. The record is from RNAcentral.
UACGAAGGGGGCUAGCGUUGUUCGGAAUUACUGGGCGUAAAGCGUGCGCAGGCGGCUUCUCAAGUCAGGGGUGAAAGCCCAGAGCUCAACUCUGGAAUUGCCUUUGAGACUGAGUGGCUUGAGUACGGGAGAGGUGAGUGGAACUCCGAGUGUAGAGGUGAAAUUCGUAGAUAUUCGGAAGAACACCAGUGGCGAAGGCGACUCACUGGCCCAUUACUGACGCUGAGGCGCGAAAGCGUGGGGAGCAAACAGG